Molecule: long non-coding RNA, 602 nt
Filed under: Equus asinus (donkey)
Lineage: Eukaryota; Metazoa; Chordata; Mammalia; Perissodactyla; Equidae
Description: lncRNA (ENSEASG00005034034.1)
Source: RNAcentral
UUUUUCUUAACCCAUUAGGUAGGGAAACUUGACUCCAUUAGAACUCAUUUGUGUGCUGCCUUUGUCAGGAACCCUUCAAGAAACAGACGGCAUUCUCAAAUUGGGAUCAUCUGAAGAGGAUUUAUAAAAAAGACCACUUACAAAGCAGGCUAGCCCAGAGUUGUUCUCAUGGCAAAGGAAGAGGAGCAAGAGAGUGAGCGAGUGUCCAUAAUGCCUUCUGGGGCCUCGGCUACGUAUGGCACCCCAUCACCUCCACCACCUUCCAAAGGCGGAAGCAAGUUGCAAGACAGUCCAGUUCAAUGCAUUGAACAAUAUGACAAAAGACAAGAAAGGAGGCUUUCGCUCCAGAUGUGCCAAAUUUCCUAGAAGAAAAAAAGAUCUACAAAGCUUCUCCACCACCUGUCCUGGUACGGCAAAGAGAGGACUUGACUUCACGUGAGAAAGCUUAUCAAAUAAAAAACUCUACUUGUCAGAAUUUUCUUUCUAGUUCCCAUCCAACAGAGGCACAUCCUGACGAGCUGUAGAUCUCUCCACUGACCGAGGGCAAAAAGCGACAAGGCAGACUAACUCAACGUUGGGCUGGGGGGGUCGGAGACUUCAUG